This 75-nucleotide transfer RNA is filed under the name Methanobacteriota archaeon. RNAcentral describes it as "Euryarchaeota archaeon tRNA-Thr". It matches the Rfam family "tRNA". Rfam says of the family: Transfer RNA (tRNA) molecules are approximately 80 nucleotides in length. Their secondary structure includes four short double-helical elements and three loops (D, anti-codon, and T loops). The record is from RNAcentral. Lineage: Archaea; Methanobacteriati; Methanobacteriota.
GCCACCGUAGCUCAGUUUGGUUAGAGCGUGAGUUUCGUAAACUCAAGGUCGGGGGUUCGAAUCCCUCCGGUGGCU